CCUACGGGAGGCAGCAGUAGGGAAUCUUCCGCAAUGGACGAAAGUCUGACGGAGCAACGCCGCGUGAGUGAUGAAGGUUUUCGGCGUGUAAAGCUCUGUUGUUAGGGAAGAACAAGUACCGUUCGAAUAGGGCGGUACCAAGACGGUACCUAACCAGAAAGGGACGGCUAACUACGUGCCAGCAGCCGCGGUAAU
RNAcentral lists this ribosomal RNA (195 nucleotides) under uncultured bacterium. RNAcentral's name for it is "partial 16S ribosomal RNA". It matches the Rfam family "Bacterial small subunit ribosomal RNA", at positions 338 to 524 of the family's 1533-position model. The record is from RNAcentral.